RNAcentral lists this ribosomal RNA (737 nucleotides) under uncultured bacterium. Its description in RNAcentral is "bacterial SSU rRNA". It matches the Rfam family "Bacterial small subunit ribosomal RNA", at positions 9 to 742 of the family's 1533-position model. The record is from RNAcentral.
GAGUUUGAACCUGGCUCAGGAUGAACGCUGGCGGCGUGCUUAACACAUGCAAGUCGAACGGGGAUGCAUUAAGAAGGAGUGCUUGCAUUCCGGAAGGAUGUAUCUUAGUGGCGGACGGGUGAGUAACGCGUGGGUAACCUGCCCCAUACCGGGGGAUACCACCUGGAAACAGGUGCUAAUACCGCAUAAGCGCACGGGAGCGCAUGCUCCUGUGUGAAAAACUCCGGUGGUAUGGGAUGGACCCGCGUCUGAUUAGCCAGUUGGCAGGGUAACGGCCUACCAAAGCGACGAUCAGUAGCCGGCCUGAGAGGGUGGGCGGCCACAUUGGGACUGAGACACGGCCCAAACUCCUACGGGAGGCAGCAGUGGGGAAUAUUGCACAAUGGGGGAAACCCUGAUGCAGCGACGCCGCGUGAGUGAAGAAGUAUUUCGGUAUGUAAAGCUCUAUCAGCAGGAACGAGACAAGACGGUACCUGACUAUGAAGCCCCGGCUAACUACGUGCCAGCAGCCGCGGUAAUACGUAGGGGGCAAGCGUUAUCCGGAAUCACUGGGUGUAAAGGGAGCGUAGACGGCUGAGCAAGCCUGAAGUGAAAGGCGGGGGCCCAACCCCCGGACUGCUUUGGGAACUGUACGGCUGGAGUGCAGGAGAGGUAAGUGGAAUUCCUAGUGUAGCGGUGAAAUGCGUAGAUAUUAGGAGGAACACCAGUGGCGAAGGCGGCUUACUGGACUGUAACUG